This 207-nucleotide long non-coding RNA is filed under the name Prunus persica (peach). Its description in RNAcentral is "long non-coding RNA (PPER_LNC006760)". Lineage: Eukaryota; Viridiplantae; Streptophyta; Magnoliopsida; Rosales; Rosaceae. The record is from RNAcentral.
UUUGUCAUAUAUAUAUAAUUAUGAUAUUUUAAAACUAAAAUUAUUACAAACAAUGAAAAAUGUAUACUUAGAGAAUAAUAAUGUAUAAUUAAAAUAAUAAUAAAAUUCUAAUUUUAGAAAACCUAAAUAAUAAAAUAAUAUUAUCUUUAGUUUAAAAUAAUUAUUUAAAAAUAAAUAUAAAGAAUAACUACACUUUAGUCCAUGGAG